Long non-coding RNA from Tympanuchus pallidicinctus (lesser prairie-chicken), 265 nucleotides. RefSeq lists it as uncharacterized. The transcript has 3 exons. The record is from RefSeq and is a predicted model, not a curated record. Lineage: Eukaryota; Metazoa; Chordata; Aves; Galliformes; Phasianidae.
AGAAGGAUCUCUUCUGGAGAUGUGCUUUGCUGGAGUUUCAUAAGUGAGCUCAGGGUACAGGAAAAGCACUAGAGCAACUUGACUUUGACUGGACUAAAAUAUUGGUUACACCUGUGGGCUUCAUGUUUGCAGCUGCCUGACAUAGUCAUCGAAAUAUGCCACCCUGUCUCUACCAGCCUGAAAACAGAAGCAGUGUGUUCAUGCUGGACUCUUCAGUAGUCCUGUAUACACCUUCUGUGACUCAGCCAAAGAUGAAGUUCACGUA